Molecule: long non-coding RNA, 439 nt
Organism: Drosophila biarmipes
Lineage: Eukaryota; Metazoa; Arthropoda; Insecta; Diptera; Drosophilidae
Exons: 2
Source: RefSeq, a predicted model, not a curated record
AUAGUCAUACUUACUUCAUUUUUUCCACAUAAAGGUUUUUUCUUUUUUAAGCUAUAUACAAAAGCUAUAAGCUAUACAAAAAAAAAAAAAUAAAUCAAAAUUAUUAUAUUAUCUUAUCAUUAACAUAAUUUAUAAGGUGACCUGCUACUUCUAUCGUGGUCACCGCAAGUCACUAUGAAAAAAAGGGUUCCGAGAGAAUUGCCAUAACUUCGUAAAUUAUUUAUAUUAUUUCAAGAACAAACGCUUGUUGUUUAGAAAAAAAAAUCAUGUUCUAUCAAUAAACAAUUACUUCAGUGUAAAAAAUAAUAAUCAAAAAGGUAUAUAACCCCUUAAUUUAAAUUCCAUUCUGCUAGAUCAGCAUAAUGAAAUGUAAACAUUUAAUCAUUGAAAGACGAAUAAUAAAAUAAAGAAUUCAGUUUGAGAUAUAUUGUCAAAGAAA